UACGGAGGGUGCGAGCGUUAAUCGGAAUUACUGGGCGUAAAGGGCUCGUAGGUGGCCAACUAAGUCAUACGUGAAAUCCCUCGGCUUAACCGGGGAACUGCGCCUGAUACUGGUUGGCUUGAGUUUGGGAGAGGGACGCGGAAUUCCAGGUGUAGCGGUGAAAUGCGUAGAUAUCUGGAGGAACACCGGUGGCGAAGGCGGCGUCCUGGACCAAUACUGACACUGAGGAGCGAAAGCCAGGGGAGCAAACGGG
This 253-nucleotide ribosomal RNA is filed under the name uncultured bacterium. RNAcentral describes it as "partial 16S ribosomal RNA". It matches the Rfam family "Bacterial small subunit ribosomal RNA", at positions 524 to 776 of the family's 1533-position model. The record is from RNAcentral.